This 91-nucleotide small nucleolar RNA is filed under the name Zostera marina. RNAcentral describes it as "Small nucleolar RNA R24". It matches the Rfam family "Small nucleolar RNA R24". Rfam says of the family: snoR24 is a C/D box small nucleolar RNA which acts as a methylation guide for 18S ribosomal RNA in plants. Lineage: Eukaryota; Viridiplantae; Streptophyta; Magnoliopsida; Alismatales; Zosteraceae. The record is from Rfam by way of RNAcentral.
GCUGCUGUGAUGAAGUUGCUAACAAGUAAGAGGAGUCAGUAUGAUCAAUUGACUCUUUGAUGAAAUAUUUUACGCUUGGCUUCUGAGCUUU